RNA transcript from Vigna radiata var. radiata (mung bean), 1557 nucleotides. It is a transcript of the gene named myeloid leukemia factor 1-like, with no coding region annotated. The transcript has 8 exons. The record is from RefSeq and is a predicted model, not a curated record. NCBI's taxonomy places the organism in Eukaryota, Viridiplantae, Streptophyta, Magnoliopsida, Fabales, Fabaceae.
UUUCAAAAUCCACGUGUCCUUCUCUCAGUAUUGCAUCUAUACCAUAUAAAUUGGUCCCUUUAUUACAAAGUUUCAUGUCAUAGGAUUUCCGGUUCUUCAUUAUUCUUCUCACCCUCAAUUCAAAUUCUAUUCCUCAGAUUAGAUUAGAUACAGAAGAUGCAGAAGGGUAGAGAAGUUCGGGAUGAUAUUUUUGAACCAAGAGGGUUUGGAGAUUUUGGUGGGUUUGGAUUUCAGGAAAGAAUGAUGCCAAGUCUUUUUGGAGGCAGGGACCCAUUUGACGAUCCCUUUUUCAGAGACCCGUUUGAUAGCUUGUUUGGUUCAAAUUCUGCAUCGAGAGCAAUGCAGAAUCCAAACAGAGAAAAAGGAGUAGUUAUAGAAGAGUUAGACUCUGAUGAUGAGGGCUCUGGUGAUUGCCCUCAAGAUGGGGACAAAGAUUUUGAUCAGAAAAAAUCUAGAUCAACCGUGGAACCAUCGGUUGAGCAUCCAGAUGAUGAUGAUGAUGAUGUUAGUGAAAGGAAGAACAGUGAUGUAACAUACAAGAAUGACCAUUACACGACCAAACCCUCGAAGGCUAACAAAUUUUCUUUUCAGAGUAGCAGAGUUACUUAUGGUGGAAUAGAUGGUGCAUAUUAUACUUCUACUAGAACCAGAAAGAUGGGGGCUAAUGGGGUGGUAAUGGAGGAGAAAAAAGAAGCUGACUCAACAACAGGACAAGCAACACAUAGAAUUAGCAGAGGAAUCCAUGAAAAGGGUCAUUCGGUUUUUAGGAAGCUUGACUCAGAUGGUAAAGUUGAUACAACCCAAACACUGCACAAUCUUAAUGAAGAUGAACUUGUAGGAUUUGAAGAAGCGUGGAAAGGAAAUAAUAUGGCACGAUUGCCUGGAUUUGAUGUACAUAUGAGUGGGGAGCAUCACAAUGUUGUAGAUUCCAGCAAUGUGAAGCAGAGCAGUAACCAGUCUUGGCCACUGGCAUAUUUGGAGCCAUCUAAAGGAGAGAGAAAAUUUCCAUCAAACCAUGAGGCAGGAAACAGUUCAGCGGGAACAAGAACAAAAAAAGUUAUUAGAAUCAAUAUUGAUUGAAUGUUGGGAUUUGGUAGUGGAUAUUGCUUCCCUUUCUGUCUGUAAACACAGAACUGAGGGUUGUGAAACUUGGACGUAAAUUGUAUGAUUAAAUUCUCCUAUGGGUGGUGGUGAGAGUCGUCUUCUAGCUAUUAUUAUUUUUGUCAUUCUUGCUAAGAAGUGAGUCAUGGGGAUGGUUUUCAUCAUCAAAGGAGACUCCUUCCAGUGAAAGGACCUAUUCUGGAGGCAAUUUCAGAGGUUCCAGUGCAGAGUUCUCCAUUGAGGUCUUCAACGACCAAAAGGGAGUGAAAUUAAUAGAUAAUGCUCAGAAGAAAAUGAUUACUUCAAACUCUUGUUGGUAAAAUGCAUAUCAAAAUCUUUUUGCUGGGUGUUUUGAGAUCUUGGCUGUUGAUGAGAAGAGGUCUAGAUUAGCUUGACACCUAAAUGAAGGCUUUUAUUAAUUUUCCUUUCCCCAGUUAAGAGUUCUCUUCGCACCAA